This 254-nucleotide ribosomal RNA is filed under the name uncultured bacterium. Its description in RNAcentral is "partial 16S ribosomal RNA". It matches the Rfam family "Bacterial small subunit ribosomal RNA", at positions 524 to 777 of the family's 1533-position model. The record is from RNAcentral.
UACAGAGGGUGCAAACGUUGUUCGGAUUUACUGGGCGUAAAGCGCGUGUAGGCGGCUUCGUAAGUUGGAUGUGAAAUCCCACGGCUCAACCGUGGACGUGCAUCCAAAACUACGUCGCUGGAGUCUCGGAGAGGAAGGUGGAAUGCUUGGUGUAGAGGUGAAAUUCGUAGAUAUUCGCAAGAACACCAGUGGCGAAGGCGGCUCACUGGCCCGGUACUGACGCUGAGGUGCGAAAGCGUGGGGAGCAAACAGGG